CCUACGGGUGGCUGCAGUCGAGAAUCUUUCACAAUGGGGGCAACCCUGAUGGAGCGACGCCGCGUGGAGGAUAAGGUCUUCGGAUUGUAAACUCCUGUCAUGCGAGAACAAGGUUGCAGGGCUAACACCUUUGCAAAUUGAUGGUACCGCAAGAGGAAGAGACGGCUAACUCUGUGCCAGCAGCCGCGGUAAUACAGAGGUCUCAUCAGUUGUUGGGAAGCGCUGGGAGUUGACGGUGCGUAGGUGGUGUGAAAGCCCGGGGCUCAACCUCGGAAUUGCAUCCGAUACUGCCAUGCUGGAGUACUGAAGAGGUGACUAGAAUUCUAGGUGUAGCAGUGAAAUGCGUAGAUAUCUAGAGGAAUACCAACGGCGAAGGCAGGUCACUGGGCAGUUACUGACACUGAGGCACGAAGGCCAGGGGAGCAAACGGGAUUAGAUACCCGUGUAGUC
This 450-nucleotide ribosomal RNA is filed under the name uncultured bacterium. RNAcentral describes it as "partial 16S ribosomal RNA". It matches the Rfam family "Bacterial small subunit ribosomal RNA", at positions 338 to 795 of the family's 1533-position model. The record is from RNAcentral.